This is a long non-coding RNA of Xenopus tropicalis (tropical clawed frog), 666 nucleotides long. RefSeq lists it as uncharacterized. NCBI's taxonomy places the organism in Eukaryota, Metazoa, Chordata, Amphibia, Anura, Pipidae. The transcript is spliced from 4 exons. The record is from RefSeq and is a predicted model, not a curated record.
GCAAGGUGUGGUUUUUAUCAACUCCCAUCUGAUCAGUUGGUAUGUGGGGGGCAGUGGCUGAAAGGUGCAUAAAUGUGGGAUGGACGGUGGUCAAGGGAGAACCGGGGGAGAGCAACCUGGGGGGAGCAACCUGGGAAAAGAACCUGGAAGGAGCACCUGGGGACUGGAUCAGAAGUGACCGGGCAAGAUGUGAGACAGACCAGAGAGAAGAGGCCAUGGCUAGAGAAAAGGAACGAGACCACCAUGUUCUUUGUUUAUCGACAAUGUAUUAGAGCGAACUGCCUUUCAACAUAAUCGACUCUGACCCAAAGCUGCAUGGAGAGAGAGAGAUGGCUGUGAGUGGAGGAUGGUGAAGAGUAACAUCAUGUGACUGUGUGAAUUAAAUAGGAAUUACCCAGAAUUUGCCUAUGGUUUGACGCAGCGAAUUUGAAAAAUGCACUGCCUUCCAUAACAUUUGAACUACAAGGGGGAUUUGCAUAAAGAACUGCCAGCUAUGGGAUGUCAACAUAUAAUGUGACUGACAUUGGACUUUAAGCAGCAUUUGACAGCUCUUGUGUUCAGGAGCAAUGUUCGUUGUCACUGCUCCUAAUCUAACUUCAAUUUGAGAUUUCUUUGCAAAUGCUCGGCGCUAGUGCUGAAUUGCUCUGGGACUAGAAUUUAAACAAG